GCCGGUGAUGGUCUACGAGGCGCUGCUGCCUCACAAGCAGCAGGGUCUGGAGUGCCGGUUCAUCUCGAACAUCGACCC
RNAcentral lists this transfer RNA (78 nucleotides) under Arachnia propionica. RNAcentral describes it as "Pseudopropionibacterium propionicum tRNA-Val(cac)". The record is from RNAcentral. Lineage: Bacteria; Bacillati; Actinomycetota; Actinomycetes; Propionibacteriales; Propionibacteriaceae.